GUCUACCCGAGUUUUUCUUUUGGAUUUUUCCUGAAUUCGGUUUCUUCAACCGUAACGAUUGGAUCCAGUAUCAACGAAUUCGUUUUGGAUGAUUAUCGGACGACAUGGUCUGACCCAGAUUCUUUAAUCGGGUCAAUUCGACCCGGAGAAGAUGGCAUUGUUUUGGAUGAUUCACGGGCUAUAUGGGCUGACAGUGUUAAGAAGAAGAGAAAGAGGAAGAUGAACAAGCACAAGUUGAGGAAGUUAAGAAAGCGGCUAAGGAGGAAAACGAAGACUUAGAUAGUAGUCACAUUAUUUGCUUAAUCAUCGGGCGAGGUAUUCUUUCUUUUUGUGGGGAUAAAAUAUACCUCAAUUAUUUGUUUAGGCUAGGGUUCAGCCCACAGAUCCCUUGUUUUACUGUAUCACAAAAGGAUUUUGCUAAAUUAAUGACUUUUUGUGGUGGAAGAAAUUUUUUAAAUGAGUUGCCACACGUCCUAGGAAUAAGCUGACAAAAUCUGGUUCGUUUUGAUUGUUAUUUGUUGAGUAAACAUUUCUUGGUCGGGUAAUUUGCUGAUGGUAUAAUGGCAAUUUGACUGAGAAUGUUCUAUAUAGCAUUAUUUACAUGUUUUAUAUGGUUCAUUUGAUUAUGAAUUGAAGGAAAUUUUCAAAUGUAGUGCACAUUGUCAAAUAAGUUGAUUUAGAUGAACUGAAUAUAAUGUAUACCUGAUGAUAUUUGUUUUUCUCUGCUACAUAUUUAGUUUUGCUUAGAGAGCUUCGUUUGAGAAAUACAGGCUAAGGAGCAUGGUGUGUACAUCUAUAUACAAAGCAACUAUUUUCUCAUAUGCUACUUGAUUCUACAUUAUAAAUGUAGGCAGACGAUUGAAGCUUUUGCCUACUCGUUUUAGCUAGAAUGGCAUGAAAUUAUACAUGUCAUGUAGUUGUAGACAUAUAUUUAUGAAUUAUGACAGUGCGGAUAUGAAUUGUUGUGUAUUUUCACGACUUGGAUAUGCUUUAUGGCGUUGAAUGAAAAAUUCAAUGGAUGGGGUUGAUUUCUUUCCCUAGCAUAUGGGACAAGGUGAAGAGUGUCAUUUGGAAAACUUGGUAAUAAGAAUAAUAUUCGAAAUAAAAGGCUAUUUAUUGGUUUAGUAUAAGUUACAUUUAGCCCUUGUUUAGUGGGGACUAAAAUAAGGUUUUUAGUAGAUUUUGAUUGAAGUUGAUAAUAUGUGUGGUUGAAAAGCUGUGGAACCAUAAAAUAGGUGGUUAAAAUUAAUUGCUGACUUUGACUUAAAUUAAAAUUUGGAUUUUAAUCAGUAUCAAAUGGGGGCUUAGCGUAUCGAUUGCGAGAUACAUCUAGUGUUUCAGUUUCUCUGGUGUUGUUGUUUGUUCAUCAUCUGAUACGGGAGUUUUUUGUAUAUAUAUUCUGGGAACUACUGUUGUGGGUAUCUCGAAGAACAUGAAUAAGUCAUUAGUUGUUGGGAGAGUGGAAGAUGAAUUGUGAGGAGGUUCAUACUGAUUUUGAUAUCUUGACUAAUCUCGGAGUUUUUAGUGUGGUUAAGAGAACUAGAGCCAAAGAAAUAGUGAAAAAUAGAAUAUUAUAUGCAUUGCUCAUUAAGGAUUUAUUCAUGCUUGAUUGUUGGUUUCUCAAGAGGAUAAGUAACUGAAAUUACAUUGGACAUCAUGGAACAUCUCCAUCAAAUCAUCAUUGAGGCUUACGUUGAAUUUUGAUCUGGUUUCGUGUUCUUUUUUCUUCUUUUCUGAAGCAUGGAACUUAGCUUUUUAUAGGUUAGCAGCUUACAAUUGGCCUUCUAGAUUUAGAAACAAUUUGCUUCUGUGAAACAAUUUGGAAAUGACCAUUUGGUCUAAUUUGGAAUAGAUAUAUAAUAUGGUGUCUCUCUUUUUUAUCUGGUAUGAACGUUGACAGUGGUGAUUGAGACUUUCAAAUGUGUCUUAUUUGAAAUCAAAAAUAUUAAUAUUAUAUUUCUUUCCUCUCCUUUGAUUUUGAAUUCCUUGAAUUAACUAAAUAUACACUGCUACUGUGCUACAUGACCAGUAGGUUUGUUGCGAUGUUUCUCAGUAAACAUCGACAGUCAUGUAUCCAUUUUCUACUUUAUGGGAUACUGGGCUUCAAUUUCAUAUAUAGCUAACAUGACAACUCUACCUUUCAUGUUCUUCUUUCUUAAUUUAUGGGGUUAUGAUUUCUCUUUCAUUAUAGGCAGCAUCACCCAUUGCUAUCCACUAAUUCCUCUGGGUCAAAGUAGGUCUGAUAUCUAUAUUAUUUGACGUGGUAUUUCUAUAUCAAUCAUUGUGUAUCAAUGAUAGAUCUGUGUUCCCAAAUUGUAUGUAGUGGGAUCACAAACAUGUUUUUCUUUCUACAUUUGUCAGAUACAGAGAAUGGUACAAUGCACUCUGUCACUACCCAGAAAUUGAUCUCCAGCUGCUACUAAAAUCAUCACAUCUCACCGUUGACUUUUAUUCUGACACAAAUCCCUCUAACCACCAUUCCCAUUGGUGAAAACCUGUAUAUCGGCUCAGAAUAAAGAAUUAAACCGAAUUAUGGGCUUGGCUGUGUGAAGUAAAAGAAAAAGAGGAAGAUGACAAUAUAGGUUGGCUGGUUUAGGAAAACCCAAUUGAGCUUCGCCUCACACUGAGGGGAGCAAAAAUGGGCUUCAAAGCACUGAUUGUGAUGCAGUUUUAAUAGUCGAUUGAUUCAGUUGCGUGAGACGCACGACUCAUAGCACUGUCUUAAAUUUUGUGAGGCAUGCACUCCUCAAUUCUUUUGACUUGUUUACUUUUCUUUAGGUGUGGAUCCACAAAAUAUAAAAAUUCUAAUUUACUAGUUUGGGAAUAUCUCACUGCCUACUAAAUCAUUAAAAGUUGUGUUUCUCAUAGACCCAUUUUGGGAACAAUUGUACUCGAUUUAUGCCUUUUUAAACACUGUUUUAAGAUUGGUAGGUUAAGGAAACUUAGGAAGCAUCUCAAGAGCUAUACAGUUAUUUUUGUUAUUUAGGGGAUGGUGGAACUUAUCGUUCAAGUUACUGUGAGAUUUGUCUCUGUUUUAUUUUGUAUUGAGAAUAUUUUUCCCAUUAAAUUUGUGGUGGAACUUAUUGCUCACUUUUUGAGUAGGUUCGCCACUAUUUUAAUUUGUUCAUUUCAGUCUUGACUAGUAUGCAUUUGAAUAGCACAACCAUGAGAGAUGGGAUUUGUAAAUUAUGUUCAUAACUUCGAUGUUAUUAUUAUUAUUAUUAUUAUUUUUAUGAUGGGGGAAUUCACAGUCGCUACCCUUCGAGUGCGCACUGGGUAAACCCUCGGGCUGAUGCAAUAGCUUGCAAACCACGCUAGCCAGGUUGUUCGAUCGAGAGAGUGUUGGUAGGGGAAUAACUUCGUUAUUCUUUUUUUUUUUUUUUUUUUGUUGACAAGGGAACCCGCAGUCGCUACUCGAAGGUGCACACUAGGUAAACCCCGCCUUGUUAUCCUAGUCGACAAAGGACCACAAGGAGGUAAACCAGCCUAGGUUACAAGAAGAACAUAUGGCUGAUGGUAGAACAACCAUGAGUUUUAUUGGAGUAUAGUCCCUCUUCAGUCUUCGGGAAUCGCCAAAUUUGUCUACAGGUUUUGCAUUUUGGUCUAGAUUCAUUAUUCAUUGCCCAAAAAAGAUGAAAUUAUCUUAUACCCGUAUCUGAGGUUCGACGGUAACAGAAAGUCAUGGUUUGACACAUACAUAAACCUUCGGUUCUGUAAAUCUAUGUUCUGAAGAUGGACACAUCACAUCAACUCACGGGAACGAGAAUGGUUUGAUUUCCAUGAGCCCUCUUUUCAAUUCUUGUUCUCAUGAUGAUAAUAUGAGCUGUUAUUUUAUAAUAUUUGUCAUGGAUGUGAUGUGAUGGGAUGGUGGUUGGGGUGUUUAAGUCAUGCUUCUAUUAGCCAUAAAUUAAUUUAUGUGACAGUGAUGGUGUCACUUCUGAAGUGAGCAAUUCCAAGGCCAAAUAUUUGGCUUGUUUAUAAGGAUACCAGGCACAGAGGAUUGCCUGUCUUUAUGGACAAUGCACGGCUUGCUUUAAUUUUUUUUAGGUAGUUACUUAUAAGUAAACUUAUUGAGCUCAACCAAUCAUGGUCAAAUCUUAGAGCUAUACUGGAUCUCCCAUUUCUUUUUUUUUUUUCUUUUUUUUUGAGAUCCUUAAAACGUUCCCAAAUUCGUGGUCUAAGCCUUGUUUGAUUUUCAUCUUUUUCAAAGUACAUUUUUCUUUCUUAUUUUUAACUACAUAUUUUUCAAUAAAAUAAUACGAAGAAAUUACAUUAUAGCAGUAUUUAAAGAUUACAAUUCAUAGAUCAGGUAUCAAGUUUAUUACUUCAAAUAUCAAGAUAAUUAAUCUACUCAUUUCCAUUCUCUCCCUACCUCUCCUAUCUCUUAUCACCAUCAUCGGAACCAAUAAGGC
Molecule: long non-coding RNA, 4412 nt
Filed under: Olea europaea subsp. europaea
Lineage: Eukaryota; Viridiplantae; Streptophyta; Magnoliopsida; Lamiales; Oleaceae
Source: RNAcentral